Molecule: ribosomal RNA, 243 nt
Filed under: uncultured bacterium
Lineage: Bacteria
Description: partial 16S ribosomal RNA
Rfam family: Bacterial small subunit ribosomal RNA
Source: RNAcentral
GAUCAUGGCUCAGGACGAACGCUGGCGGCGCGCCUAACACAUGCAAGUCGAACGGAGAUUACAGGCGGAAGUUUUCGGAUGGAAGCUUGUAAACUUAGUGGCGGACGGGUGAGUAACACGUGAGCAACCUGCCUAUCAGAGGGGGGAUAACGAUUGGAAACGAUCGCUAAUACCGCAUGACAUAGCGGAACCGCAUGGUUCUGUUAUCAAAGAUUUUAUCGCUGAUAGAGGGGCUCGCGUCCG